GAAAUGCGAUAAGUAGUGUGAAUUGCAGAAUUCAGUGAAUCAUCGAAUCUUUGAACGCACAUUGCGCCCCAUGGUAUUCCAUGGGGCAUGCCUGUUCGAGCGACAUUGGUAACCUCAAGCUUUGCUUGGUGUUGGGCGUCUUGUCCUCUUCUGGAGGACUCGCCUCAAAACAAUUGGCAGUCGGCAUAUUGGUAUCGGAGCGCAGCACAAGUCGCACUUUGUUCCAUGAGGGUGGGCAUCCAUCAAGACCAUUUUUUCACUCUUGACCUCGGAUCAGGUAGGGAUACCCGCUGAACUUAA
Molecule: unclassified non-coding RNA, 300 nt
Filed under: uncultured Pleosporales
Lineage: Eukaryota; Fungi; Ascomycota; Dothideomycetes; Pleosporales
Description: sequence contains ITS1
Rfam family: 5.8S ribosomal RNA (bases 1-105)
Source: RNAcentral